Saccostrea cuccullata (small rock oyster) is the source of this 337-nucleotide long non-coding RNA. RefSeq lists it as uncharacterized. The transcript has 4 exons. The record is from RefSeq and is a predicted model, not a curated record. NCBI's taxonomy places the organism in Eukaryota, Metazoa, Mollusca, Bivalvia, Ostreida, Ostreidae.
UUUAGAGGAGCCAGAAGAUACACCUCUGAACUAUUACUGAAUAAAAUCUAAGACUUCAAGAUGAAAUCCCUUAUUUUGAUCGCGUUGUGUGUAUGUUUUUUUGCCUCUGCACAAGUUGUCAUGGCAGGACACGGGUGUUACUGUUUUUUUUACAAAAACGAAACGUGCAGAAAUUAUUGCAGAAGUGAACUCAGUUGUAAUGACGGAGAAUGCGAGAAUCAUCCGUGUGUUUGCAAGUGUAGUGGUUGCAGAAAUUAACUGAAAGGAAAGAACGCAAAGAAAACUAAAUGGCAAUUGUCGCAAUUAACUACUAUAAAAUUAAAGCAUUCAGCACCAG